Molecule: transfer RNA, 79 nt
Filed under: Felis catus (domestic cat)
Lineage: Eukaryota; Metazoa; Chordata; Mammalia; Carnivora; Felidae
Also listed under: 1 other name
Rfam family: tRNA
About the family: Transfer RNA (tRNA) molecules are approximately 80 nucleotides in length. Their secondary structure includes four short double-helical elements and three loops (D, anti-codon, and T loops).
Source: Rfam by way of RNAcentral
GCCUGGGUGGCUCAGUUGGUUGAGUGUCUGACUUCGGCUCAGAUCUCACGGUUCAUGGGUUCGAGCCCCGUGUUGGUCU